Molecule: ribosomal RNA, 576 nt
Filed under: Triticum aestivum (bread wheat)
Lineage: Eukaryota; Viridiplantae; Streptophyta; Magnoliopsida; Poales; Poaceae
Description: partial small subunit ribosomal RNA
Source: RNAcentral
AUGAAGAGGAAGGGAGGAGACGGAGGGGGGACGGACAUGGUGUUCGGCAUGAACGAUGCGCGGACGAAGGCGAGUGGGAGGACGGAGGUGGAAGAUCUGUGCUCCAAGCUGACGUCUCUGCUCCCCCAAGACUAUCGGCUGGACGCCUCACAGGGUCCGCCGGACAUCCCGAGCCAACUGAUGCAGGCCACCGCCUACAUCGAAGAUCUAUACGAGAGAGUCGAAAGGCUAAGGCAGAUGAGAGAUGACAAAACCCAAAGGCGCAGCUGCAGGGUCCCAAACACACAAGGGACAGCUCGGGAUGUCACGGUGCAGCUCGGCGGGGCGGCGCAUUUCGACGUGAGCUUCACGACGAGCCCCGCGGAGAGACUCGAGAUGCACAGGGUGAUCCGCCUCAUCGAGCAGGAUGGACGCAUGGAGGUCGUCGAGGCGAGCUGGUGCUUUGUCGACGGUGGCAAGGUUUUCUGCACGAUCAAGUGCAUGGCAGUGAGCUCUGAGGCUGUCUUGGAUGCGUCCAUGGCGGCGACAAGGCUCGGAAGGUUGCUGACGGACUCACUUGGUGGCCAUGGUGUCUAA